Molecule: ribosomal RNA, 293 nt
Filed under: uncultured bacterium
Lineage: Bacteria
Description: partial 16S ribosomal RNA
Rfam family: Archaeal small subunit ribosomal RNA
Source: RNAcentral
GUGCCAGCCGCCGCGGUAAUACCGGCAGCUCAAGUGAUGUCCCAUAUUAUUGGGCCUAAAGCGUCCGUAGCUGGCCGCGCAAGUCCGUCGGGAAAUCCACCUGCCCAACAGGUGGGCGUCCGGCGGAAACUGUGUGGCUUGGAACCGGAAGGCUCAGAGAGUACGUCCGGGGUAGGAGUGAAAUCCCGUAAUCCCGAACGGACCACCGAUGGCGAAAGCAUCUCGAGAAAACGGAUCCGACAGUGAGGGACGAAAGCUAGGGUCUCGAACCGGAUUAGAUACCCUGGUAGUCC